This 88-nucleotide unclassified non-coding RNA is filed under the name Solitalea koreensis. RNAcentral describes it as "Flavo-1 RNA". Lineage: Bacteria; Pseudomonadati; Bacteroidota; Sphingobacteriia; Sphingobacteriales; Sphingobacteriaceae. The record is from RNAcentral.
AACUAAACCUGAUUGCAGCGGAAAACCCACAGCGAAAUAGGGAAAUGUGUAUUGGAGCGUGGAUUUGUAGCGGAAAGCAGGACUGCCA